CCUACGGGAGGCUGCAGUGGGGAAUAUUGGACAAUGGGGGCAACCCUGAUCCAGCCAUGCCGCGUGUGUGAAGAAGGCCCUCGGGUUGUAAAGCACUUUCAGUGAGGAAGAACGCCUGGUGGUUAAUACCCAUCAGGAAAGACAUCACUCACAGAAGAAGCACCGGCUAACUCCGUGCCAGCAGCCGCGGUAAUACGGAGGGUGCGAGCGUUAAUCGGAAUUACUGGGCGUAAAGCGCGCGUAGGUGGCUUGAUAAGCCGGGUGUGAAAGCCCCGGGCUCAACCUGGGAACGGCAUCCGGAACUGUCAAGCUAGAGUGCAGGUGAGGAAGGUAGAAUUCCCGGUGUAGCGGUGAAAUGCGUAGAGAUCGGGAGGAAUACCAGUGGCGAAGGCGGCCUUCUGGACUGACACUGACACUGAGGUGCGAAAGCGUGGGUAGCAAACAGGAUUAGAUACCCGGGUAGUC
Molecule: ribosomal RNA, 465 nt
Filed under: Vreelandella stevensii
Lineage: Bacteria; Pseudomonadati; Pseudomonadota; Gammaproteobacteria; Oceanospirillales; Halomonadaceae
Description: partial 16S ribosomal RNA
Rfam family: Bacterial small subunit ribosomal RNA
Source: RNAcentral